RNAcentral lists this ribosomal RNA (253 nucleotides) under uncultured bacterium. RNAcentral's name for it is "partial 16S ribosomal RNA". It matches the Rfam family "Bacterial small subunit ribosomal RNA", at positions 524 to 776 of the family's 1533-position model. The record is from RNAcentral.
GACAGAGGGGGCAAGCGUUGCUCGGAAUCACUGGGCGUAAAGGGCGCGUAAGCGGGAUGGCAAGUCAGUCGUGAAAUCUCUCGGCUCAACCGAGAAACGUCGGCUGAUACUGCCGUUCUUGAGGGAUGCAGAGGAGACUGGAAUUCCCGGUGUAGCGGUGAAAUGUGUAGAGAUCGGGAGGAACACCGGUGGCGAAGGCGGGUCUCUGGGCAUUUCCUGACGCUGAGGCGCGAAAGCGUGGGGAGCAAACGGG